Molecule: ribosomal RNA, 253 nt
Filed under: uncultured bacterium
Lineage: Bacteria
Description: partial 16S ribosomal RNA
Rfam family: Bacterial small subunit ribosomal RNA
Source: RNAcentral
UACGUAGGGGGCAAGCGUUGUCCGGAUUUAUUGGGCGUAAAGAGCGUGUAGGCGGCCAGGUAGGUCUGCUGUGAAAACUCGAGGCUUAACCUCGAGCUGUCGGCGGAAACCAUCUGGCUAGAGUCCGGAAGAGGAGAAUGGAAUUCCCGGUGUAGCGGUGAAAUGCGCAGAUAUCGGGAAGAACACCCGUGGCGAAGGCGGUUCUCUGGGAUGGUACUGACGCUGAGACGCGAAAGCGUGGGGAGCGAACAGG